GAUGAACGCUGGCGGCGUGCCUAAUACAUGCAAGUCGAGCGAACGGACGAGAAGCUUGCUUCUCUGAUGCUAGCGGCGGACGGGUGAGUAACACGUGGAUAACCUACCUAUAAGACUGGGAUAACUUCGGGAAACCGGCGCUAAUACCGGAUAAUAUUUUGAACCGCAUGGUUCAAAAGUGAAAGACGGUCUUGCUGUCACUUAUAGAUGGAUCCGCGCUGCAUUAGCUAGUUGGUAAGGUAACGGCUUACCAAGGCAACGAUGCAUAGCCGACCUGAGAGGGUGAUCGGCCACACUGGAACUGAGACACGGUCCAGACUCCUACGGGAGGCAGCAGUAGGGAAUCUUCCGCAAUGGGCGAAAGCCUGACGGAGCAACGCCGCGUGAGUGAUGAAGGUCUUCGGAUCGUAAAACUCUGUUAUUAGGGAAGAACAUAUGUGUAAGUAACUGUGCACAUCUUGACGGUACCUAAUCAGAAAGCCACGGCUAACUACGUG
RNAcentral lists this ribosomal RNA (497 nucleotides) under uncultured bacterium. RNAcentral describes it as "partial 16S ribosomal RNA". It matches the Rfam family "Bacterial small subunit ribosomal RNA", at positions 28 to 507 of the family's 1533-position model. The record is from RNAcentral.